ACACUCCUACGGGAGGCAGCAGUAGGGAAUCUUCGGCAAUGGGGGCAACCCUGACCGAGCAACGCCGCGUGAGUGAAGAAGGUUUUCGGAUCGUAAAGCUCUGUUGUAAGUCAAGAACGAGUGUGAGAGUGGAAAGUUCACACUGUGACGGUAGCUUACCAGAAAGGGACGGCUAACUACGUGCCAGCAGCCGCGGUAAUACGUAGGUCCCGAGCGUUGUCCGGAUUUAUUGGGCGUAAAGCGAGCGCAGGCGGUUUGAUAAGUCUGAAGUUAAAGGCUGUGGCUCAACCAUAGUUCGCUUUGGAAACUGUCAAACUUGAGUGCAGAAGGGGAGAGUGGAAUUCCAUGUGUAGUGGUGAAAUGCGUAGAUAUAUGGAGGAACACCGGUGGCGAAAGCGGCUCUCUGGUCUGUAACUGACGCUGAGGCUCGAAAGCGUGGGGAGCGAACAGGAUUAGAUACCCCGGUAGUCCCAUG
This 475-nucleotide ribosomal RNA is filed under the name uncultured organism. RNAcentral describes it as "partial 16S ribosomal RNA". It matches the Rfam family "Bacterial small subunit ribosomal RNA", at positions 333 to 799 of the family's 1533-position model. The record is from RNAcentral.